GAUGAACGCUGGCGGCGUGCCUAAUACAUGCAAGUCGAGCGAACAGACGAGGAUCUUGCUCCUCUGACGUUAGCGGCGGACGGGUGAGUAACACGUGGAUAACCUACCUAUAAGACUGGGAUAACUUCGGGAAACCGGAUCUAAUACCGGAUAAUAUAUUGAACCGCAUGGUUCAAUAGUGAAAGACGGUUUUGCUGUCACUUAUAGAUGGAUCCGCGCCGCAUUAGCUAGUUGGUAAGGUAACGGCUUACCAAGGCAACGAUGCGUAGCCGACCUGAGAGGGUGAUCGGCCACACUGGAACUGAGAAACGGUCCAGACUCCUACGGGAGGCAGCAGGAGGGAAUCUUCCGCAAUGGGCGAAAGCUUGACGGAACAAAGCCGCGGGAGUGAUGAAGGUCUUCGGAUCGUAAAACUCUGUUAUUAGGGAAGAACAAAUGUGUAAGUAACUAUGCACGUCUUGACGGUAACUAGUCAGAAAGCCACGGCUAACUACGUG
This 497-nucleotide ribosomal RNA is filed under the name uncultured bacterium. Its description in RNAcentral is "partial 16S ribosomal RNA". It matches the Rfam family "Bacterial small subunit ribosomal RNA", at positions 28 to 507 of the family's 1533-position model. The record is from RNAcentral.